GGCCCCAAUGAUGAUCAAAAACUUUCGUUCUACCGAGCAGUUCAAGCUGUGGGGAUACAACCUUGGUUUGGAGACCUGAACUGAGGGGAC
This 90-nucleotide small nucleolar RNA is filed under the name Coccomyxa subellipsoidea C-169. RNAcentral describes it as "Small nucleolar RNA Z159/U59". It matches the Rfam family "Small nucleolar RNA Z159/U59". Rfam says of the family: This family consists of several snoRNA Z159 or U59 sequences which are members of the C/D class of snoRNA which contain the C (UGAUGA) and D (CUGA) box motifs. This family seems to be found exclusively in rice. The record is from Rfam by way of RNAcentral. Lineage: Eukaryota; Viridiplantae; Chlorophyta; Trebouxiophyceae; Coccomyxaceae.